ACCUUACACCAAUUCCUUCUCCUUUCAUCGUCUGCUCCUUCUCCUUCAUCCAUUCUCGUCAACUGCUCCUUCUCCUUCAUCCAUUCCUGCAACCUUAUCCUUUUUCCUCAUUACCUGCUCAGUCCUAGUUUCAUUGUUGAAGGCGGUUCCCCAUUCCCCCCUCAGUCGCAGCUUUGGCGUGUUUUCCGUCGUCCUCACUCUGUAAGCAAGUUCAGUAACCAUCAGUAGCACAAAAUUAGAUAGAGGUAUUACAAUUUGUGAACUCAACACCAACUCAAGAAGAUAAACCAGGAGAUUAAGGUUGAGGGGUCUGGUUCAUUUAAAUAAAUGGGUUUGGUGAAGGUUGGCUCAUAUACGAUAUGAACCCAACACGUUGGCCCUAUCUUGCUCAUGAUACUUGUAAUUAUCUAUUGAGUUGGUUUAUUAACUUCAAUUUUAGCUCAUAGUCUGCAUAGACAUUUAUACCAGCAAGCUUAUGUCCUCAAGAACAGGUGAUGGCUUUCUUUUUCGAAGAUCAUGUGUAAUCGGUGGUCAUGUGCUCAAACAGAACAGAGAUGUUUGUCAUUGUGUUGAGCAGAACAAAGAUUGUAAAGAGGGAGUUAGGAGUCCACAACGACCAACUUGAUAUUCAAAGGCAACAAGCAGACAUCCGGCAUGAACGCAUACUUCUUCGUAUCUAUUGGGUGAUUUAUAUUUUAAUUUCGUUGUACUUGAUACGAUCACAGUGAAUACCCACUGAUCAAGGCAACUUGAUAUAUGGUUGAUGCAGUAGGAAAAAAGCUCCAAGAAUGUCUAGACCAGAUCCGUGUGUAUGUAGUCACCAUAGUGCCAUUAGUAUGCUGUAACCCUAUGAGGUUUUGGCUCUCUAGUUUUGUUAGUCAUUUGAUGUUGUAAUAGAAUUAUGGAUGUAGCUGGAAACUCUAUGUAUGUAGAAGUUCACAUAUUACUGAUGUAUUGUGAACUAUUAAAUGUGUAUGUGGAAAUUGUAAUUUAAUCCAGUUGAUGAAAGAAGGUAUUGAGGUUACACUUGA
Juglans regia (Persian walnut) is the source of this 1031-nucleotide long non-coding RNA. RefSeq lists it as uncharacterized. The transcript is spliced from 3 exons. The record is from RefSeq and is a predicted model, not a curated record. Lineage: Eukaryota; Viridiplantae; Streptophyta; Magnoliopsida; Fagales; Juglandaceae.